GGUGGGUGAAUCAGUGGUAGGUUGUUGUGGUUGCUGGGUGUUGAGUUAUAAAUCAGAAGGUUAUGGGUUCAAAUCCCACCACCACCA
Molecule: transfer RNA, 87 nt
Filed under: Pangasianodon hypophthalmus (striped catfish)
Lineage: Eukaryota; Metazoa; Chordata; Actinopteri; Siluriformes; Pangasiidae
Description: tRNA-Ser
Source: RNAcentral